UGAUCUACCCAUGCCGCGUGAGUGAUGAAGCCUUAUGGUCGUAAAGCUCUUUCGCCUGUGAAUGAUAUGACAGUACCAGGUAAAAAAACCCCGGCUAACUCCGUGCCAGCACCCGCGGUAAUACGGAGGGGGUUAGCGUUGUUCGGAAUUACUGGGCGUAAAGCGCGCGUAGGCGGAUUAGAAAGUUGGGGGUGAAAUCCCGGGGCUCAACCCCGGAACUGCCUCCAAAACUGCUAGUCUAGAGUUCGAGAGAGGUGAGUGGAAUUCCGAGUGUAGAGGUGAAAUUCGUAGAUAUUCGGAGGAACACCAGUGGCGAAGGCGGCUCACUGGCUCGAUACUGACGCUGAGGUGCGAAAGUGUGGGGAGCAAACAGGAUUAGAUACCCUGGUAGUCCACACCGUAAACGAUGAAUGCCAGUCGUCGGAUAGUAUACUAUUCGGUGACACACCUAACGGAUUAAGCAUUCCGCCUGGGGAGUACAGUCGCAAGAUUAAAACU
This 498-nucleotide ribosomal RNA is filed under the name uncultured bacterium. Its description in RNAcentral is "bacterial SSU rRNA". It matches the Rfam family "Bacterial small subunit ribosomal RNA", at positions 384 to 901 of the family's 1533-position model. The record is from RNAcentral.